GGCAUCCUGGCCGAGCGGUUAAGGCGAGAGAUUAAAAAAAUCUUUUGGGGUUUCCCCGCGUAGGUUUCGAAUUUCCUGCGGAUAUGUCG
This 89-nucleotide transfer RNA is filed under the name Yarrowia lipolytica. Its description in RNAcentral is "tRNA-Ser". Lineage: Eukaryota; Fungi; Ascomycota; Dipodascomycetes; Dipodascales. The record is from RNAcentral.